Molecule: transfer RNA, 69 nt
Filed under: Ochotona macrotis (large-eared pika)
Lineage: Eukaryota; Metazoa; Chordata; Mammalia; Lagomorpha; Ochotonidae
Also listed under: 7 other names
Description: tRNA-Ser
Rfam family: tRNA
About the family: Transfer RNA (tRNA) molecules are approximately 80 nucleotides in length.
Source: RNAcentral
GAGAAAGUCAUAGAGGUUAUGUGGUUGGCUUGAAACCAAUUAAUGGGGGUUCGAUUCCUUCCUUUCUUG